AAAUUGUAUGUUUAAAUACAGAUAUUGCCGUCUAGACAAUAUCCACACGCAAAUAAAUUCCCAUCAUAAUUAUUGAUACAUUAUUUUACAAAAAUGGUGAGGACUACUAAACAACUCUCUCUAGAACCUUCAUUCCAUACCCCGACUCGUACUCGCUACAUUCUCGCCUCCUGAGAAGAAAAAUAGAACAAAAAGGAAAAGGGUGAGCUCAACUAGCCCAGUAAAGAAUAUUAUGACUAAGAUAAUAUACAACAAAUUAUCGUUAGUCUUCAACAGGGAAAAAUCUAAUAGAAUACAAUAGACAACAAGUUUUAAAUCAAUAUUCGCAGCGGAAAUAAUAAUUCAUUAGAAGAGUUAAGUAGAGAAUGCAAACUACUAUCUUCUAUGUAUGAAUUUAAAAGUUCAUCGUCUAUCUUUUAUCCCUGUAACAUCAAUCAAUAUAUAUCUGGAAUCAAAUAUUCAUCUUUGCACUACAGGCCAAAGAUAUUCAUCAGUUGGUCAUGUUCAUCUAAACACCUGUUCAUCUUUGCACUACGGGCCAAAGAUAUUCAUCAGAAAUCAUUCAUCUUUGCACUACAGGCCAAAGAUAUUCAAUAAUAUCAUCAUUUAAGACUGAGGAUGAUGAAAAAAAUUUUUUUUAAAGAAACGAAUCCAGUGAAACAAAAUGACAAGGAUUAAGGAUUAAGGAUUCGUACUUUGUUUUAUCCACGUCCAAAAAUACCUCAAAAAUAAUCAUAGUGGUGUAAAAUUCAAGAAUGAUCAAAACAUGGAUACAAUCAAAGCUAGUAUCCACAAUAGAUAUUUUGGACGAAAAGAAAAAUUUUCAUUUUUCGAUGAAUAGUGCCGUAUUCGUGAAUAGUACCGUAUACGUGAAUAGUGCCGUAUACGUGAAUAGUAACUCCGACACCAAAAGUUCCAAAUUUGAUAAAAACUUCAGAUCAAUAUUUCAGCAUAAUGAUAUUGAAGAAAUAAUAUCAUUACGAAAAAAAAUAAUAUCCCUUACCUCGGAAAGACAGUACUUCUAACUGGAAUACUGGAUAUAGGCUAUAACUUGAACUUUCACCGUAUAGCAAUACUCAAAGUAUACUCAAAAUACUCACAAGAAUACGCUCGAUAAUAUAGAGAGAGAAAACUUCAGUUUCUGGUGUGAUUUUCAAUUCUAACCUAAGCACCUAUUUAUAGGAAAUUGCUUAGAACACCAAAGCAGAAAAUUUAAUAUAAUAUUAAUAUAUAUAAAAAUAUUAUACGUAUUCCUUGAAAUCUUAAUCUCAGCAAUUCACACAUGCCAACCUUCUAGAAAAAAAUAAAAAAAACGUUUUUCUAAUUUAAAAUAUUUUAAACUUCCAAAAAUCAAUUAUUUCGGAGCUUCGGAACUUCAAUAAUUCAUAAUAAAUAGCCCUUUUAUCAGAAAAUUCGAAUCUCGCGAGUUUUUAUAGGAAAUUCAAUUCUCUACAACUUUGCAGAAGAAAGUUUUUCCAAAUUCCAAACAGAAAUUGACCGAAAUCCACAAACGGGCGAUUUUAGAGGCUAUAAUCAAAUUUCAGUCAAUAAAUGGGGUCCACCGACAUGUUUAACAUGUUUUAAACAUUUAUUGCAACAAAAAUACUCUUCCUCCUCGUAUACUCAUAUAUCCCACAUUCGUUGUAAAAAUAUCACCAUUAUUAUAUUAUUAAAAUAUAAUAAUAUAUAUAUUUAAAUGAAUUAUUUUAUCAGAAAAAGAUAAAAUUUCAAUUUUCAACAAUUGUCACAUUAAAAAUUUUCUCCAUCUAUAUCCACAUAAAAUCAAUAUUUUCCUCAUCAUAUGAAUCAAUAAUUAAUUAUUCACAAAUAAUAUUACAGAAUCACAAUAUUGACAACCAGGCAGUUCCCAGGAAAGAGGGGGCUUUCCAAUAAGAAUUUCUCCUUACUGGCGCGCAAUUAGGUGACCAAACCUCUCCUUAGACAGAACUUUCUAGACAUUGCCAAUAAUGUUAUCUAAUAAUAUUAUUCAGAUAAUAUGAAUUAUUGCUUCGAUAAUGAAAAAUACUGUGUAAUGACAAUUAUUGAAACAACAGCAAUAUAAAAUAUCAACGCAGCAAUUAUUGAAUCAAUAAAAUAAAAUACUGAACAGUAAUUACUGUAACCAUUAUUGAGUAGUGCCUUCUUACGUAAGAGUCAAUAAUUGGUGCAAUACCGUGUGCUACUGUGCAACAACGCGUAUUACUGUGUUUUAACCACCGGGUAUUCCAACAGUGUAAACGGUAACAACUACGCCGUUAUUUUUAAACAACUUAUAUUUGUCGUUUUCUUCCUCCAAUCGCUUUCCGUUAUGGGGCCCACACAUGGCUGCGCCGUCGUACGAAUAUUCCCCGACAGUACGAAUAUUCCACGACCAAACGAAUAUUUCCCGACAAUAAUGAAUAUUUUAUAACCACUUGCUUAUUCGAAAUAUUUGCGUAUUUUACCCAUAACUAUCCACAUUAAUCAAAUCAACCCUUACUAUUUCAAAAUAAUAAAUAGAGGAAAAUAAAUUUUAUUUAUUAAUAAUUUGGGGUCUUACAUUUUGGGCCAAUUUUAAUCUCUUGAGAAUAUUAAAAAUAGCAUGGCUUAAAAGUAAAAAAUAUAUUUGUUUAAAAAUGAUGUUAAACAUAUGCCCAUCUUUAUUGUUAUAUUAAUAUAUUUAAUAUGUUUUGAUAUUAAGAUUAGUCCUUGCAAAGUAUUAACAACUAACAUAUGGUGCUCUAGUGGUUAGAUGACUAAAGUUUCAUGUUUAAGGUUGCGAGUUCAAAUCUAUGAAGUGACAAUUUUUUUGGAAAAAUUUUUAAAGAAGUCGCGUCACAUGUGGCGCCUUGGGGUUCGAAGUCCAAAUUUUUGAAUAGAAAGGGGUUCAAUUUGCGUUAGCCGGAAGAAAGGGACUCAAUACCCAAAUUUCACUAAAGUUCAGUGGUCAACUUUACAUUUAACCUCAUCACAUGUGGGCUCCACCUCUUAUAAUGAAUAACUUUCUCCGAUUAUUUUAAAAAAUGGAUAAAUGGGGGUCCAAAUAAUAAGCAACAUUAACAACAAAUACUUCAUAAAAAUUUUCUCAAUAUUUUUAACAAUAUUUAUUUAUCAAUAAUAUAACUUACAAUAUUAACAACCAGAUCAUUCCCAAGAAAAGGGGGUUUUCCGAUAAGGAUUUCUCCCUAUUGGCGCGCAAUUAAAUAACCUAACUCCUUUCCUCGACAGAAUUUUCUAAAUAUUGUCAAUAAUACAAAUAAUAAUAUGAAUAACUUGUCAUUUCAAAUAUUGAUUUAAUAAUAUAAAUUCUGUGACAAUAAUUGAAUCAAAUAACAUGAGAUACUAUGCAGCAAUUACUGUAGCAAUAAUUGAGUAUAACUGAGUGACUUCUCACGUAAGCAUCAAAUACCAUGUGCUACUAUGCAACCACGCGUAUUACUGUACUUUUAUCACCGGGUAUUUCAACAGUUAACAGUAAAAUUUCCGCCGUUAUUUUCAUAAAAAGUUACUUCUGUCGUUUUCUAACUCCGACAGUAAUUCUGUUGUGGGGUCCACCAAUGAUUGCGCCAUUGUACGAAUAUUUCAUGUUAAAACGAAUAUUCCCCGACCAAUCGAAUAUUUUAUAACAACUUGCUUACUUUGCAAAAUUUAUAAAUAUUACCCACAACUAUAACAUUAUAUCAAAUUCACACCUUAAUACUCAAAAAAAUAUUUAAAGAAAAUUAAAUCUUUAUUCAUAAAAGUUGAGGUCUUACAAAAUGUAUUUCAUCCAUAAUUUAUACAUAUUAAAUUAAAAGUUUAGAGAUGUAUUUGGGCUUUAAAGCUUUAGAAAUUAGGGUUAUGUUUGUUUGGAAGGAUUAUACUUGGGACAUGAUUAUUAAUCCCAAGUGUCUUGUUUGUUUUCAAAUUUAUAAUUGGGACUAUUAGUUUAAGGAUUAUAAAAUGACUUAAUAGUCUUGUAAUUAUAAUUAUAAUUCCGGGAUUAUAAUCCUAGGAUUAAUAGUCUUGGGAUUAUAAUCUCAUGUAGUAUAAUCUCGAUUAUAAUCCUUGCAAUCAAACAUAGCCUAGGAGUUUAAAAGUUUUUGAUUUAGUUGAGUGAGCCACUUGUAUAAGUCAGAAAAAACAAAAAAAAAUUUACUUUUAGUUCACUUUGAUAAGAUCGUACGAUCACACACCAAUCCUACGACCUUACGAUUCUAUACGAUCCUAUGUGAUUUUAUGUGAUUCUAUGCAUGUUUGCGAAUUGUUUUCCUUUUAUGGGAUUGUGAUACUAUGUAAUCCAACUAUCCGGAUUGAGAUUUUAACAACCAUGGUUGAAUCUAUACUUCACUAAAGCAUAUCAUAGAGAAAUUCUUGAUUAUUCCUAUUACCAUAAUUUUUGUUUAUGAAACAAGAAAUCUUUCUUCCAUAGUUUGUGUUAGGAGGGACUAUUCCCUAAUAAUUUAUGUUUCUUGAUGUGUGUGCACAAUACCAAAUAGAAAUCAUGAAAUACUCCUGCAUCUAGCUAAAUAGCUAAUCAGUGCCAUGUUGUACACUUAGAGCUAUUUGGCUAUUUUGUCACCAUAAGGUUCAUGAGUAUUAAUCAAGUACUAUGUUAUUCCCGUAACUAUUCUUUUUGUGUAAUUUAUCCUCAAAUUUUAUAAAUUCUGCAAACUCAGUCUAACCUUAUAAAAUUAGAUCAAUUAAAGGGGACUAAAACAUGAAAAACAAUUAUAGAUUAAGAACUAAGUUUAAAAAAAUUAUAUUUCGGUGACUAAACAUGAAGUUGCUAUAUUUUAAAGACUUACAUGAGAAAAAUAUAUAAUUUGACAACGAAAUACGCGAAAAAAAUAGUUAGUGGACUAAACGAAUAAAUUAUCCCAAUGAUUUAUCAUUUGUAAUUUUAAAAACAUUACAUACGGCAGAGGGAUGGAAUCGAAUCCUACAAUGCUACUAGUGUGGUGGGGAACUUACAUCCCACUAAGUUAUCUAUCAACAUGAUUCACAGUGCAACAGUGAUGCAGGCGUAAGCCCGUAUGAAAAGACUGAUCCGAAUUCGUGGAGAUUAAUUUGAUUGCGGUUGAGAAACUCUCGAUUAUCAAAAAAAAAAACAUUUACUAGAAUUGCAAAAUGUUCUUAUGACAAUAGACAUUAGACAAGAUAAGCCUGACUCUCCUUUCUCCUUUAAAUCCAUAAUAGACAAUUAACUUUUGUAGUGGAAAUAAUUUAAUUUUUUUUUAUGUGUUACUGAAUUUCAUGAUUUUCAUUUAAAUUUACUAAUAAAUCCCUUCCGAAAUAUAAAAUCAUAUGACUUAAUAUUUGAACUUAUAUUUUAAAACAAAAUGGAUGUUUUUUAUUAUAAAACUUCAUUUGCUACAUAAAUACCUAAAGUUUAUAUUUGAUUAGUUUUAUUUAAUUGUUUUUGUAAGAAUAUAUAGCAUACAUGUAGGGCUGUGAAUAAUUUUCAGUUUUUUCAAUUUUCCAGAUCGGACCGAACCGACUGGUUCGGUACAAAAAGAACUGGUCCGGUUUUGGUACAAAAAAACCGAUAUAUACCGGUUUUUCAAUACCCGUUUUUGGUACGGAGUUUUUAUGGUUCGGUAUUACUGAACCGAACCGAUAUAUACCGAUUUUCCAAUUUUUUUUAAUAAUAAUAAUAAUAAUAACAAUAAAAGUAAUAACAAUUAAAUAAUGAUUAUAAUAAUAAAAAUUAUAAUAAUAUUAAUAAUUAUUAUUAUUAUAUUAAUUUUCGAUAUUUAUUCGGUAAAAACUGGUUCCGAACUGAUCGGUUCUGUAUACCGGUCCAACCGGUACAGGUAUCGGUAUCAAAAUUUUGGCUAAUUUUGGUACCGAUCCAGUUCGGGCCGGUAUUUACCGGUUGGACACCCUUACAUACAUGCAACGGACUUGAACCGAAAAAAUUAAAUUUUUCUAGUUAUCUCUUGAAGCAUAUGCCCACAAACACGAACGAUUAGAAUCAUGAACUCAACGAACAAUUAUCUCAGCGAUAAUUUAGACUACGUUAGAACGAGUACCAAAUAAGUUUUCACAAUUCGUGUAACUACAAAGCUUUCAAGCUUUCAAAAUAGACUUCCAAAUAGCUUAUAGAUAAUAUAUGCAAGUUUGCUCGUGUUAUGUAUCAUAAGGAUCAGCACACUAUCUAUAUAUAUAUGAGGAGGAAGAGUGUAACUUUUAUAUAUAUAUAUAAAAUAAGGAUCUUAGGCUCACCCUAAAAAAGCUCACCCCAGCUCACCUAUAAAAAUUAAAUUUUUUUCUCUUUCCUCAGACAUAACGCUUUAUUUAACUACUCGACAUAACGAGAGCUCCUCACGCGAGAGACAACUUCUCCCCUUCUGCAAGCCCCAAGCUCUCCUCUCUCGCUCUCCCGAUCUCUCUUUCCCUCUCUUUUGACGAUCUUAGGCGCUCACUGGCUUCUCAACCCCUGCUCGCUCACUCGCCCCAAAUCUCAAAACCACGGAUUGGCCUAAUUUUUGCCCCAAAUCCGUCGCGACGGCUGGCCCUAAUUUUUACCUCUCAAAUGCAUCAUACGCAAGUUUGUCUUCUAUCUCUCUUUCAAUUAUCGAUCCUAACUGUAUUACAUAGAUCGAUUUAUUCAUGUUAUAUGCUAUAUGUCUGUUGUUUUCUUAAUUUUGAGUUUAGGAUCCGUAUGGCCAUAGCUUACACUCUUUUAUCUGUUAUUGGAACUGUAACAUAUAUUUACCUUAGAAUGGAGUCAUGGAAUUUUGAUCACAUAGUUUUUACCAUAGAAUAGAGUUUUGAUCACACAUUUAAUUACUUACACAUUUAAUUACUCCCAUUUUCGAAGCAAUGUCAAUUAAACUCAAAAUUAAGAAAACAACAGACAUAUAGCAUAUAACAUGAAUAAAUCGAUCUAUGUAAUAAAGUUAGGAUCGAUAAUUGAAAGAGAGAUAAAAGACAAAUUUGCGUAUGAUGCAUUUGAGAGAUAAAAAUUAGGGCUAGCCAUCACGACGGAUUUGGGGCGAAAAUUAGGGCAAUCUGUGAUUUUGAGAUUUGGGGCGAGUGAGCGAGCAGGGGUUGAGAAGCCAGUGAGCGCCUAAGAUCGUGAGAAGAGAAAAGAGAGAUCGGGAGAGCUUGGCACUUGCAGAAGGGGAGAAGCUGUCUCUCGCGUGAGGAGCUCUCGUUAUGUCUGAGAAGUUGAAUAACGCGUUAUGUCUGAGGAGAGAAAAAAAAUUGAUUUUUAUAGGUGAGUUGGGUUGAGCUUUUUUGGGGUGAGUCUAAAAUCGGGAUAAUAGACUUUUUAGUAACUGUACUAGGGUCCGAUUUUCAUUGUGGUUACCGAAACUUUUUUUGUUACAAUCGAAUAACUGUACUCUCAAAAAUUACAAAAUAGUCGUUAUUUUUAAUUUCCGUCCGAAAAAACAAACGGAAUGCUGACUGUGCAUAGUAGCCAUUAUUUUUGCUGAUGUGGACUGUUAUUUUUGCUGACGCGAACUGACGCGGAGGGUUAAAAAUUUCCUUAAAGAAAAAGUUACUCACAAGUAUUGAACGUGAGACCUCUCCAAACUAAAAACUUUAUAUUCCAACAAAAACCAUUAAACCAACUACCUACCAUGCUAAAAUUCAUGUAAUAUUAUUAUUUAAAUCAUCUAGCAUCGUUUUUGGUGGAAUUGUAAUAAUAAUAAUAAUUAUAAUAAUUAUUAUUGUAAUAAUAAUAAUAAAUUUUAAAUAAUUAAAAUAAUAAUAAUAAUAAUAAUAAUUAAAAUUUUAAAUAAUAAUAAUUAUUGUAAUAAUACAGUGACCGAAAAAGAGAUAAUACACUGUAUUAUUACAAUAAUAAUAAUAAUAAUUAAAAUACUAAUAAUAAUAAUAAUAUAUGCGUCUCACAUAUAUAUUCACGGAGGGAGUAUAAAGUUUAAACAGAGGUGUAGAGAGGUUCAUUUAGUAAGACUUGUUUUUUUUUUGCUAAAUAGUAAGACUUCUAAUUAAUAUCAGUUAAUUAAUUAAUCUCAUGCAUGGUCUAAGUUCAAUAUGUAAUGAGGUUGCCUCUUAAUUUGAACAACAGUUUAGUUUAGGCAAUUAGUAUUAAUUUAAACAAGUCAUUCUUAAUUUAAUUAUAUAUGAUAAAAAUCUUGUGAAAAAUAUAUGAAUUUAUUAGAGAAAUAUAUAGUGGCUUAAUUAGAGUUUUAGCAUAGUGAAAGGACAGGAAUGAAUUUGGCUAAAAUCAAAGAGUGCCUCUUCAAUAUUUCAAAUGAAGGUAGCUUUUAGAAGCCUUAAGGGUCAUUUAAGAUUAAAAUUACAAGAUUUUGUAUUUUAGAAUCAUGCACGACUCUUUAACAAAACGAAAUUGCAGGUACGUCGUGGUGUGUCACACGGGUCAGGUAUGUCCCAAAUUUUUUAUCAACUUUCAGUUCUGUGAUGACCUGAUUGUCUCUCUACAAUCAGUCAGCCAACCCACACAAUGUAGUCCGUCGUACUGUUUGCACCAACAGAACACACACACACUGUUUGUAUGGUUUACUGUUUGGAACAAGUGAUUUGCAAGCACACAAAGGGACAACACAUGAAUUUACAGGCAAACGUCCAACCUUUUAUUGCACUCUCAAUAAACUAGAAAAUUCGCUCAAAGACUUACAAAACUCAACUCUUUAGCCUACAAGUUUGAUGUCUCUACACUAGACUUCCCUCAUCUACCAUUUGUGCUCCCAGCACUGGCUAUUUAUAGCCUAAUACGGUGCUGCCAACAAAGGGGUGGCAGUUCCCCAAAACUGUCUAUGACUGAUAACCGCCAACAGGUGUCAUCAAGCUCUUAGCCACGCUGUAAGACCCCGAAAUUUUUUAAAUAAAAAAGAAUUUCCUUUAUUUAUUAUUUUGAAAUAGUAAGGGUGGAUUUGAUUAAUGUGGUUAGUUAUGGGUAAAAUACGCAAAUAUUUCGAAUAAGCAAGUGGUUAUAAAAUAUUCAUUAUUGUCGGAGAAUAUUCGUUUGGUCGUGGAAUAUUCGUACUGUCGGGGAAUAUUCAUACGACGGCGCAGCCAUGUGUGGGCCCCAUAACGGAAAGCGAUUGGAGGAAGAAAACGACAAAUAUAAGUUGUUUAAAAAUAACGGCGUAGUUGUUACCGUUUACACUGUUGGAAUACCCGGUGGUUAAAACACAGUAAUACGCGUUGUUGCACAGUAGCACACGGUAUUGCACCAAUUAUUGAUUCUUACGUAAGAAGGCACUACUCAAUAAUGGUUACAGUAAUUACUGUUCAGUAUUUUAUUUUAUUGAUUCAAUAAUUGCUGCGUUGAUAUUUUAUAUUGCUGUUGUUUCAAUAAUUGUCAUUACACAGUAUUUUUCAUUAUCGAAGCAAUAAUUCAUAUUAUCUGAAUAAUAUUAUUAGAUAACAUUAUUGGCAAUGUCUAGAAAGUUCUGUCUAAGGAGAGGUUUGGUCACCUAAUUGCGCGCCAGUAAGGAGAAAUUCUUAUUGGAAAGCCCCCUCUUUCCUGGGAACUGCCUGGUUGUCAAUAUUGUGAUUCUGUAAUAUUAUUUGUGAAUAAUUAAUUAUUGAUUCAUAUGAUGAGGAAAAUAUUGAUUUUAUGUGGAUAUAGAUGGAGAAAAUUUUUAAUGUGACAAUUGUUGAAAAUUGAAAUUUUAUCUUUUUCUGAUAAAAUAAUUCAUAUAUAUAUAUAUAUUAUUAUAUUUUAAUAAUAUAAUAAUGGUGAUAUUUUUACAACGAAUGUGGGAUAUAUGAGUAUACGAGGAGGAAGAGUAUUUUUGUUGCAAUAAAUGUUUAAAACAUGUUAAACAUGUCGGUGGACCCCAUUUAUUGACUGAAAUUUGAUUAUAGCCUGUAAAAUCGCCCGUUUGUGGAUUUCGGUCAAUUUCUGUUUGGAAUUUGGAAAAACUUUCUUCUGCAAAGUUGUAGAGAAUUGAAUUUCCUAUAAAAACUCGCGAGAUUCGAAUUUUCUGAUAAAAGGGCUAUUUAUUAUGAAUUAUUGAAGUUCCGAAGCUCCGAAAUAAUUGAUUUUUGGAAGUUUAAAUUAUUUUAAAUUAGAAAAACGUUUUUUUUAUUUUUUUCUAGAAGGUUGGCAUGUGUGAAUUGCUGAGAUUAAGAUUUCAAGGAAUACGUAUAAUAUUUUUAUAUAUAUUAAUAUUUUAUUAAAUUUUCUGCUUUGGUGUUCUAAGCAUUUUCCUAUAAAUAGGGUGCUUAGGUUAGAAUUGAAAAUCACACCAGAAACUGAAGUUUUCUCUCUCUAUAUUAUCGAGCGUAUUCUUGUGAGUAUUUUGAGUAUACUUUGAGUAUUGCUAUACGGUGAAAGUUCAAGUUAUAGCCUAUAUCCAGUAUUCCAGUUAGAAGUACUGAUCUUUCGAGGUAAGGGAUAUUUUUUUUUUUCGUAAUGAUAUUAUUUCUUCAAUAUCAUUAUGCUGAAAUAUUGAUCUGAAGUUUUUAUCAAAUUUGGAACUUUUGGUGUCGGAGUUACUAUUCACGUAUACGGCACUAUUCACGUAUACGGUACUAUUCACGAAUACGGCACUAUUCAUCGAAAAAUGAAAAUUUUUCUUUUCGUCCAAAAUAUCUAUUGUGGAUACUAGCUUUGAUUGUAUCCAUGUUUUGAUCAUUCUUGAAUUUUACACCACUAUGAUUAUUUUUGAGGUAUUUUUGGACAUGGAUAAAACAAAGUACGAAUCCUUAAUCCUUAAUCCUUGUCAUUUUGUUUCACUGGAUUCGUUUCUUUAAAAAUAUUUUUCAUCAUCCUCAGUCUUAAAUGAUGAUAUUAUUGAAUAUCUUUGGCCUGUAGUGCAAAGAUGAAUGAUUUCUGAUGAAUAUCUUUGGCCUGUAGUGCAAAGAUGAAUGAUUUCUGAUGAAUAUCUUUGGCCCGUAGUGCAAAGAUGAACAGGUGUUUAGAUGAACAUGACCAACUGAUGAAUAUCUUUGGCCUGUAGUGCAAAGAUGAAUAUUUGAUUCCAGAUAUAUAUUGAUUGAUGUUACAGGGAUAAAGAUAGACGAUGAACUUUUAAAUUCAUACAUAGAAGAUAGUAGUUUGCAUUCUCUACUUAACUCUUCUAAUGAAUUAUUAUUUCCGCUGCGAAUAUUGAUUUAAAACUUGUUGUCUAUUGUAUUCUAUUAGAUUUUUCCCUGUUGAAGACUAACGAUAAUUUGUUGUAUAUUAUCUUAGUCAUAAUAUUCUUUACUGGGCUAGUUGAGCUCACCCUUUUCCUUUUUGUUCCAUUUUUCUUCUCAGGAGGCGAGAAUGUAGCGAGUACGAGUCGGGGUAUGGAAUGAUGGUUAUAGAGAGAGUUGUUUAGUAGUCCUCACCAUUUUUGUAAAAUAAUGUAUAAAUAAUUGUGAUGAGGAUUUAUUUGGGUAUGUAUAUUGUCUAGAAGACAAUAAUUGUAUUUAAACUCACAGUAUAUAUGUUGUCGUAUUUUGCACGACAAAUGUAUUAAUAAAGUUGUAGUUAUUUCUGUACCAUGUAUUUGGCGACUCAGAAUGGGUUGGAUGGAAUGGACCUAUUUUGGGGGCGUCACACACGCAUCCUUGGGUUCCAGCUCAUGCAAUCUUAUGUCGCCCUUAACUGCUGCCAUGUCAGCUUACCCACCACAGGUAACUGCCUCAACUGCUGUCUAGCACCUUGCCCACUACUUGGUAACUGCCCACAACUGCCUUGCAUGAUCUCUCAGAUGCUGCCCACUUGCUGACACGCUUGUCCCUCAUGCUUGCACCCCAACUGCUCCUUGACCCAGUCCAAGUCGUAGCAUAAGCCAACUGUGCACGCCAGCCUGAUUCGUUAGCCUACACGUGCAUCCGCCUUGCAUUCUGUUCCGCUCAGCAUGACUAGCACUAUCUUCUGCAAUGCCCAACACCUUCUGUUGUCACGCAGCCCAACGCCUCGCGUUGUUUGGCACCCCUCGUAGCCCAACAUGUGAUGUUGCCUUUGCCACCAAUUUAGUUUAGCCCCGCCUCAUCUGAACUCAUGCACUAUUUUGGCACGCUAGGCUCCGCCUAUGCCAUGCCCACGUUUAGCCCACCUCAUGUGUCACCAAUAAACCUGGCAAACGGGCGGGCCCGACCCAAACGGGCCAAACGAGUGGCGGGUCGGGCCGAAAAGGCCCGAUUUUUUCUGGGCCAAAAAUCUUCAGCCCAAAGCCCGGCCCGUGGCGGGCGGGUCAGGCUGGCCCACUAGCCGAAAGCACUUUUGUGCCUAUUUUUUUGUUAUUUUUUGGGUUUGGCCCAAAUGGGCCGGGCCAAAAACGGGCGGGCCAAAUAGGCCCGGAAUUUACUGGGCUACAAAACUGCCGCCUGAAGCCCGGCCCAGCCCGCGGGCUUGGAUCUCUUUUGCCAGGUCUAGUCACCAAGCCACUUGUCCGUUAGUCCUUGGUCUUAAGCCAACCGUAUACUAAGCCCAACCUUGACAUUGCUUUGACAUGCCCACGCCUUGUCAUGCCCAACGUUCGCCCAGCAACGUUCUUGCUCGAUUAUGGCCCGCUCAUGAACGAGUCUUUGAUUCGAUCCAAAGUCACAAUCUGAUGUUAAACAUUGUUGUAAGGGAGCCUAACAAUGUCCCAACGUCCAACACGCCUCGCCCAUAACACCUGUCCAUGGCCCCGGGUGACCUUCACGGAGCACCCCUCCUUAUAAUAACACUUAUGAAAAUUUUCAAAGUGUUAGCACUAGACAUCAGACAUGUCUGAGGAAGCAUAAUGCAAACCCUCUAAAUUUGCUAGUUUUCUAACAUAGCCUAUUUGCUGCCCAAUGACCCAACUUGCUGCCUAGUGUCGCCCACUGCUGCACAACGCUGCUCAUUGCUGCCCAAAAGACCAAGUGUCAAAGCUUGUUUGCCGACUUCGUGCGUCCAGCGCCCUUGUCUGCCACACACUGCCGACUAAGUGCGCACAUCGCCCUUAGCUGCCGCACAGUGCAACUCACUGCUGCUCGCAUGCGCCUUGUCCCACAAGUGAGUGUCAAGACUUAGCUUGGCAUGCUAUCUGGGUGUCCCGCAUGCUAAAUUCGUGUCAACCCAUUAAAGGGCUAACAUGGUGGGUGAACGUGAAUAUAUAUGUGAGACGCAUAUAUUAUUAUUAUUAUUUUAAUUAUUAUAAUAAUAAUUAUUAUUAUUAUUAUUAUUGUAAUAAUACAGUGUAUUCUCCUUUUUGGUCACUGUAUUAUUACAAUAAUUAUUAUUAUUAUUUAAAAUUUUAAUUAUUAUUAUUAUUUUAAUUAUUCAAAAUUUAUUAUUAUUAUUAUUAUUAUUACAAUUAUUAUUAUUAUUACAAUUGCACCAAAAACGAUGCUAGGUGAUUUAAAUAUUAAUGUUACAUGAAUUUUAGCAUAAUUGGUAAUUGGUCCAAUGACUUUUGUUAAAAUAUAAGAUUUUUAGUUUGAAGAGUUCUCAGGUUCAAUACUUGUGAGCAACUUUUUCUUUAAGAAAAUUUUUAAUCCUCCGCGUCAGUCCACGUCAGCAAAAAUAACGGGACACGUCAGCAAAAAUAACGGCUAAUAUGCACAAUCAGCAUUCCGUCCGUUUUUUGGACGAAAAUUAAAAAUAAUGAUCAUUUUGUAAUUUUUGAGAGUACAGUUAUUCGAUUGUAACAAAAAAAAAUUCAAUAACCACAAUACAUAUCGGACCCUAGUACAGUUACCAAAAAGUCUAUUAUCCCACCUAAGAUCCUUAUAUAUAUAUAUAUAUAUAUAUAUAUAUAUAUAUAUAUAUAUAUAUAUAUAUAUAUAUAACGCAGAAAAAACGUUGUGAUUUCAGUCAGAAAAACGUCGUGGUUAAAAGUGUUAUCUAUUUGACACUCUUACACAACGUUUUUAAAAUGUUGUAGUUAAGCACAUUACACAACGUUUUUAAGAAAAAAACGUUAUAAAUUUGUUUUUCAUAAAUUAACAGAUGCUUAAAAACGUUGUAGAAAGUAUGAUGAUUCCACAACGUUUUCUGGAUAAAAACGUUGUAGUUUAAUAUAUCAGACAACAUUUUUAACCAAUUUAUACAAUAUUUUUAAAAUGUUGUAGAUAAAGAAAAAAAAAGAAAAAAAAUGUUGUGAUUCACCUAUAUUACCAAUGCACCUGCAAUACCAUGAUAUAUAGCUAAAAGGUCUAAAUUCUCAUUUAAAUUUAAAACCAAAAUGUAUCAAACAUUCAAAAUACAUCCCAAUAAUACAUGAAUACAUGGGGACAUAAGAAUACAGAGAACCUAAAACUGGAUUGUAACACACAUGGAAUUGUGACAGUUACUCUUUAGUCACAGGUAGUAAACUAGCUACUAGCAAAUGCAUGAUGCAUGAUUUAUGAUCUGCAUGUGACACCCAUGUUGAUGAUUAAUAGACAUGUUUGACAAAAACAGCAGAAGCCAGAUGAUGCAAAGCCAAGUCAAUCACACACUUCAGCGCCGGCAGAAAUCCUUCCAAAAAGAUUUGCAGUCUGCAUAUGUUUCACAAAAUAUUAGUUUGAAAAGUAGCACCACAACAAGGUUAGCAAUAGUAUGCUUAUCAGAAGCAGCUGUAAUAUAGACAAUUCUUGUCAAAGACACUAGCAUUAAAUUAUACUCCAUGUGCUGACACCAACCAUAUAUAUGUGGCAGCAACCAAGGCAGGUUACAAAUACAUGUUUACUUCAGGCAUUAAUAUUUGCCAAUAAUGUGAAAGCAGGCUGGAAGAGAAAAUACAUUAGCAUUAAGUAUAUAAUAAAAUCAACAAGAUAUCAAAUCAAAUAUUAUAUGCAAUGCAGAUGAUACAUAGAAAAAUUAAAACUAAAACUGAAACAUAUGGCACCAAAUGACCAGAGACUUGGGCAUAAUACAUAAUCUACUGUGAAAACAUACUGUGAAAUCUACUUUUUGAUUUCACAGUAUAUUUUGUCUCUGGUAUAAUCCACCAUAAAAAAAUAUUGUACUCCAAAACUAAUGUUACUUGUCAGAUCCUAAAAGAAGCAUUCUUCAAUUAGUUAAAAGACAAGCCUUUCGAAGUUCAUGAUUAGUGCCAUACUGAGAAACAAAAUAUGAAUGUACCUUCCCCACCCCACCCUCAAAGGCUGAGAUUGAGUUAACAAGUAUUGCAUUCAUAUUUAUUUAAUUUUGGAGAAACACUCCUAUAUGACAAUAGUGACAUAAAUACUCACUUCCCCUGCGUUUUCAGCAUCUUGUCGUUCCUUGAACAUUUCUGAAUCAAAUUGUGGCAACUGCAUCAGAAAUUCCUCAGCCGAUGCAAUCUUCUGAAAAGAUAAUAAAGAAAAAGAAUAAUAGCAUCAAAGCAUACAAUAAGAUAUCCAUGGUAUUUGUAUAGUACAGGAUGCGAUAUUAGAAUUUAAGAUCUCAAUAUUGAUCCAAUUUAGCAUAUAGAAUACCAUACUUCGAAAUUUUUAUUAGAUUUAGCUAUUUUCAAAAUAUAAUCAUACUAGAUAUACAUUCACUGAUAAAAACUCAUACUAUUACUACUUCCGCCUGGAGAAUGAAAUCUACUAAUUUUUUUACUUUUGUUUUCUCAAGGAAUAUGAAGGUUUGUAUUGAUCGUAGCCGGUGAACUAUGCGAGCUGGUAAGGUGCAUGGGACAGAGGACAUUUAGCAAUAAUGAAAGGAAAUUGCUAGCUUAAGUAUAACUUUUUUUAAAAUAUAAAUUUUAGUUGCUAAUAAUAUUUUUAAAAAAUUAGAAAAUGUCCAAGUGUGUCAAAUGCAAACCUCGAUAUACUUUUCUUUUUCAAAAGAAAACAACAACAGAACUGUUGGAUUCCUUCCAAUGGAGGGAAGGAGGAGGGAGUAUUAGAUAGCAACAUAUCCUUGUGGACUAAUAUUUACACCUUUCAAUAUAACUAAUACAGUCAUUUCCAUCGAAUACUGGAUCAUUAGAAGCAAAUAAUAUUCUCACCCUUAAUGGUUCUGGAACAAGGCUCUGAACAGGGAUAUAAGAAAGUUCCAGCUUUAAUCCAGAUUCUCUAGCAAGAAUAAUCACCAGCAAUAUUAUAAAUUUAUGUAUUAGCUCAUAAAUAUUUCAAUGCAUUUUCAUAAAGUGCAGUACAUAUAAUUUGUAGCCACAAAGAGAUAGCUGGCAUUUGUUGAUGGUUGGGUGUUCAAAUCCAAGUCACCCUUAAUAACAGAUAGCUGCGGUUACAAUGAAACAACUGCCUCUUGCCAAGGGUAAAGUGAGGGCAUUGGUAAGCUGACUUACUGAAGAAAUAAGAUUAUCUAAAGUUGGUGCCUUUUCCCCACAGUUGGCAAACAGAGGAGGCAUACAUAAGAUAGAAUAACGAAAGUGCAUGAAACAAAAUAAACAACUGAUACCUUUCUAGCCACAUCUGUUCCAGAUACAUAUGACAUGUAUUAUACUGUGAAAACAUACUGUGAAAUCUACUUUUUGAUGAGCCUAACUAGGGUAUAAUCAACAUACUGUGAAUUCCAUCCUAGUUGUUAACAUAACAUAAGGUACAUUCUAUGAUUUCUAUCCAACCAAGUCCAAUUCAUGGAACAUAUCACACAGGUACCAUGUUUCAUGCAGGGUAUAACAGAGACACAAAAGCAAGCUUGUAUGUAAGACAUGUUAAAGAGCACACGAAAUGGAGCUGCUAUCAUACCAUGAUACUAGACAAGUCUAGUCGAGAUAAGGACUAGUAUAAGUGAUAAUCAGCCUCAGAAAACUAAGCAAGUCUUAGGCUUACCUCUUUUACACAACUACAAAACAGUAAAUAGAUAACGCGGAAUAAACAAAAGAAUACCUCCAAGUUGUCCAAUGUAAUCUUCAAACAGCUCACUCCCAAAAAGUAUAGCAAAAAUAGCAGCAGGAUCAAUGAUCGCCUCACUGAAAAGAAGAGAAAUUAUGCAUAUCUAUAUAAGAUUAAAUUUUCGCUUAACUAAGUAACUGAAUAAAAAAAUUCCAUGUACAGUUUGAAUAUAUACUACUUGAGGACCCUAAUUCCCUAAGACUAUAAAUUUUAAUCAUUUUGAAUUGGAAAAAGAAGAAAAAAAAAAAAACUGACGUUGAGAUUCCUGAUUUCCCAUAAGCAUCAUAGGCUUGCCUUUGUGCGGGAUCACUCAGCACUUGAUAAGCCCUUGCUUCUCUAUCCUUAUUCAUAGGCAUGCCUUUGUGCGGGAUCACUCAGCACUUGAUAAGCCCUUGCUUCUCUAUCAGUCAUCAGUGUAAAUAUAACACUAAGCAGGAAGCCAACAUUAAUAAUGCUUCUCUAUAAAUUAUAUAACUAAACAAAUUCAUACGUUGUCAACUAAAAAAUAUGGCGUUGGAGGACAGUAGUAAAUUACUUUGUUCAAAUCAUGAAGAAAAUAGGUUUAAGUAAAACCACAUUUUACAAAAGCAACACUCCAAGUAAUCAAAUUCCUAUGUUCUAACCAUAUAAUCAAAUCUACAUAUCCAAAUUACUCUUGAAAAAGCAUUUAUAAGUCGUAUAAGAUUUAGACUAAAAUUACUGAAGCUUCAAUUGGCUGAGACCUGAUACUAGAUAAAAUAAAAAAAUAAAAACAUAGAGUUUUUAUAACUAUAUUCCUUAAAUGUGCUGUCAAAUAAUAAAUUCAACCUGUCUAGACCCAACCCGCAAAAACCUAAACCAAGCAUAUAUUAAACACCAAUGAACUGCAGAAAGGUGAUCUUUUUUCAGGACAAUAAAGCAGCUAAACAUAAUCAAAAUCAAGCAUAUACAAAAAACUCAUGAACCCCAGAAAGAUGAGUAUUUUAACAAUAAAGCAGCUAAAGAAGACAUCAAGGUCAAUAAAGCUAUUAAGAAUCAACUUGCUAAAAAAGAAACAGAAACAAUUUUAUAAUCUCACACUGUCACACAAAUUUCCAAAAGUAUCAUACCCCUAAAUCAAAACUUAACCAGGAACCCAAAAUUAACACAAACAUCACCCAAAAAAAAAAAGGAAAAACCUUUUUCACACCCUGAAAUUUGAUACCAAAAUUCGCAGUCAAAUGUCAAAAAAAGGUCAUUACCCAAAUCCAAAAAAGCCAAAAAUAGACCAGAAUUCAUCUAACCGGAAGUAAAUACACAUAAUUAAAUACAGAUGAUAUAUACCUGCUUUGUGAUACAUCAUAGAUCUGACCCUUAAUCGCCAUGAGCAAAGGCUUCUUGGGAUCAGCGCCGUCAUAUGACCUUUGAAUUGAGAUUACGCAACUGCCGAACAGCUUGAGGAGAUCCAUCCAUGAAAACCAACGGACUAGAUAGCCCUACUCUAAUAUCCACCCGGUUAAGUUCGAUUUCAGUCAAAUUUAAUACCUGAAAUAUGAUGGUCAGCAACUGGAAUCUUUACAAAAAAUAUACAAAAGAUUAGCAAUUAAUUUAAAAUUCCCUUACAAAAGAUCUUAAGCAGCGGUAUAAGGGUUGCUGCAAAAUCAAAGAGUAACCGAUGAAGAAGAAGAAGAGAGAAAAGAGGAGAGAGAAAAUGAUGGGCAAAAGAUUCCAUGAUAUAGUACCAGUAAGUAUAAGGGUUGCAGCGGUAUCUCCUCCGACCGAAUGCAAAACCAGCUUCCAAAGACCAGAUUUCAACUGCCAAAACCCCUAAAGCCAGUAGAAUCAUCAAGAUCCGAGCCCUCCAAAUCCGAAGCCCCAAGGAUUUCAACUGUCAAAAUCCCUAAAAUCAGCAGAAUCUGAGGAGCCUCUCUCUCUAACUUUCGCUACUUCGAACCCUCGAGGAUGCACUUCCAGUCACUGAGUCACGUUUUUUUUAAUUUUAAGUUUUAGUUUGAACGCGUUUUUUGCUCCGUGUUUUUCACGUACAAAACGUUUUAAAAAAAAACGUAAUCUAUUUAAAACUAAAAAAAUAUCCUUUUAAAUACAUAACGUUUUUACAUAUAUAUCUAGGGAAAAGGGUCAAAAAAACCCUCGAUGUUUAUCCCGAUGUCUCACUUGCACCCUAAAUUAAUUUUUUUUCCAAAAAUACCCUUAACGUUAUAUUUUUGGGUCGCUUGCGCCCCUGCCGUUAACAGAAUACAAACGGUGUUAAAAUCUGAUGACGUGGCAGGCUUAAUUAUAAAAUAUAUUUUAAAUAAAACAAUAUAUAUCAUUUAAUCAAAACAAAAAAUGCUAAAAUUCAAAAUAAAAAAAAGCAUAACAUAUUUACAAAAAAAUUUUAAAACAGAUUUGUUUAAAAAAAACAUAAUUUUUAAAAAUAUAUUUUUUUUUUUAAAACGGAACUUUUUUAAAAGCAUUUUUUUAAAAAAAAAAUAUAGAAUUUUUUAAAAAUAGCUUUUAAAAAAACAGAAUUUUUUAAAAACAAUUUUUUUAAAAAAAAACAUAAUUUUUAAAAAAAUAGAAUUUUUUUAAAAACAAACUUUUUUAAAAAAAUGAAAGCAAAUUUUUUUAAAAAAAAUAGAAUUUGCUUAAAAACAACUUUUUUUAGAAAACGAAAACAGAUUUUUUUUUACAAAAAUAGAUUUUUUUUUAAAACAAACUUUAAAAAAAACGGAUCUUUUUUAAAAACAGUUUUUUUUAAAAAAAUAGAAUUUUUAAAAACAGCUUUUUGAAAAAAAAUAGAAUUUUUUUAGUAUUUUUAGUAUUAUUUUUUAAUUAGUAUUUUAAAAUUAUUUUUUAAUUAGUAUUUUAGUACUAAAAUACUAAUUAAAAAAAUACUAAAAUACUAAAAAAAAUCAAAUUAAAAAAAUACUAAAAUACUAACAUUCUGUUUUUUAAAAAAAUUCUAUUUUUUAAAAAAGACUUUUUUUUAAAAAUUCUAUUAUACUAAAAUUCUGUUUUUUUUAAAAAAAAAACUGUUUUUAAAAGAGUUCCCUUUUUUUUAAAAAAAAUAUUUUUUAAAAAAAUCUAAUUUUUAAAAAAAAUCUGCUUUAAAAAAAGUUACGUUUUUUUAAAAAAGUUUGUUUUUAAAAAAAUUCUAUUUUUUAAAAAAAUCUGUUUUUUAAAAAAUCUUUUUUUUUAAAAAUAAUUUGUUUUUCAAAAAUUCUGUUUUUUUUUAAAAAAAUUGUUUUUAAAAAUUCUAUUUUUUUUUAAAAAAAACUGUUUUUAAAAAAGUUUCGUUUUUUUUAAAGUUUUUUUUAAAAAAAAUCUGUUUUCGUUUUCUAAAAAAAGGUUGUUUUUAAGCAAAUUCUAUUUUUUUUUAAAAAAUCUGCUUUCAUUUUUUUAAAAGAGUUUGUUUUUAAAAAAAUCUAUUUUUUUAAAAAAAAAUUGUUUUUAAAAAAUUCUGUUUUUUUUAAAAGCUAUUUUUAAAAAAUUCUAUAUAUUUUUUAAAAAACUGCUUUUAAAAAAGUUCCGUUUUUUGUAAAAAGUUUGUUUUUUAAAAAAUUCUAUUUUUUUAAAAAUUAUGUUUUUUUUAAACAAAUAUGUUUUAAAAAUUUUUUGUAAAUAUGUUAUGCUUUUUUUUAUUUUGAAUUUUAGCAUUUUUUGUUUUGAUUAAAUGAUAUAUAUUGUUUUAUUUAAAAUAUAUUUUAUAAUUAAGCCUGCCACGUCAUCAGAUUUUAACACCGUUUGUAUUCUGUUAACGGCAGAGGCACAGGCGACCCAAAAAUGUAACGUUAAGGGUACUUUUGGAAAAAAAAAAUUAGUUUAGGGUGCAAGUGGGACAUCGGGGUAAACAUCAGGGGCUUUUUUGACCAUUUUCCCUAUAUAUCUACAACGUUUUAUUUAAAAACGUUGUGGAAAAAAAUACCACAACAUUUUUUAUAGCAUUCCGUCCGUUUUUUUGGAUAAAAAUUAAAAAUAAUGAUCAUUUUAUAAUUUUUGAGAGUACAGUUAUUCGAUUGUAACAAAAAAAAGUUUCGGUAACCAUAAUGAAUAUCGGACCCUAGUAUAGUUAUCAAAAAGUCUAUUAUCCACCUAAGAUCCUUAUUAUAUAUAUAUAUAUAUAUAUAUAGCUCGGCUCUCUCCAACGAUCUAGAGGGAGCAAACUAAGAGCGAACCGGCUAUAACGACGGUUUUUUCCGUCGCUAUAGCAUAAAAAACCGGCUUUCUAUGCUAUUGCGACGAAAAAAAUCGUCGCUAUAGCCGGUUCAUUCUUAGUUCGCUCCUUACAGUUCGCUGGAGAAGCAGACUGUAUAUAUAUAUAUAUAUAUAUAUAGUGAGCAAAUAGGAGUGUGUAAGUGAGAUCUCAAUGGACUGAAAGCAAUCAGACAAAGCUACAUACAUGAUCUGUCAUAAUGCUUUCUUAGAUCAGAUCUUGCACCAUCUGAUCUGAAUCAUCUGGUCCAAUUAAGUGAGAAGUGAAUGAGAGGGCUUUAAGGGUUGGGGUUCACAUCACUAAGAUCAUCUUAUUCUCAAUACUAGAUCAAUUUGUGUCAUUUUUCUUCCUAUAUAAUUUGAGCACAACAAGUGACAAAGAUAAUAAAAAGUAUAUAAAAACACAGUGGGUGGGGGUGGGGGUGGGGGGUACUUUCCUCAAGCUUGGUCAAAAAUAGCUUAUUUAACUACCUUAGGGGGGAGUGGGGACCAAAACCCCACUUAUGCUCUCUUUUUUUUGGUGGGCAUUGUUGUUCUAGACUAACCUAUUCUCAUUUGCUUAUGCUUAUGCUUAUAUGGAAACAAAUUGAAGGGGGUUGAGUUGAGUCCAUUCAACAUAUAACUUAACCUUUUUUUUAGGCCAUGAUUGUCUUCACAUGGAUUCCAACUAAAAUGUUUUUUUUUUAAUUUGUUUUUCUAAUGGUUUUCCUUUUAGUUUUAUGGGACUCAUCUCAACUUGAAGAAUUAAGCUUAAUAAUUAAUCUCUCUCAUUUUUUUUGUGAUGUUGGUUUAAGGAAGCCAAGGGACACCAACCAAAUUGGUCUCCACAUGGGGAUGGGGGUGUGCAUCAAAAAUAAUAAGUCAAAAUNNNNNNNNNNNNNNNNNNNNNNNNNNNNNNNNNNNNNNNNNNNNNNNNNNNNNNNNNNNNNNNNNNNNNNNNNNNNNNNNNNNNNNNNNNNNNNNNNNNNUAUAUAUAUAUAUAUAUAUAUAUAUAUAUAUAUAUAUAUAUAUAUAUAUAUAUAUAUAUAUAUAUAUAUAUAUAGGGGAAAAUGGGUAUGCACAGUUGAAUAAGAUUUAGUUUGUCCUAAUCUUGAUGACUUUUGAGUUUUUGACGACCAGUGCUUCGAAAAUCCAGAGGCUUGGUGCUGAAUAGGUUUCUCAGUAUAAGCUAUUGCAGGACGAGGGCAGGACCUACACAAGAUAUUAUGUGAAACAGAAACAGAAUCUGAUUGGUGUUUAUCUUUCCAAAACUCCCCUCCUGAGAAAGCAAAAGCAUAAAACAGAAUUAACCAUUAAUGAAUUCACAGAUGAUAUUAUGUGAAACAGAAACAGAAUCCGAUUGGUGUUCCAGUUACAAAAAUUUCAAAAUCAAAAUACAAAAUAGCUAAGAGAAGAGCAUGGGCGGAAAAACAAAUCGAUGUAAUUAGGAAAAAUUAGGAAAAAUCACAAAGAAAAGGGACUAAUUUGGGAAUAAAACUAAUUAAACUGGUUCACCAAUGAAAAAAUCAUCGAAGAGAGAUGAAGAACUAGUUCCAAAUAAACCCUAAAUUUCUUAAAUUUAUAAAAUUAAUACAUUCGAAGAGAGAGAAGGUUACGAACCAGAGAGAGAGAAGCAUAGGCCGGAUAUUCCUUUUGCCGAUCGAUUUGGCUGGAAACAACAGGUGAAAAAGGGAGGAUGAUGCUCUCAUGCCGAUCGAUUUGGGAGAAGCCCUUAGGCGACUGUGAAGAAGGAAGAGAAGCCUUAAGCUGUGUUUUUUUUUUAACUCCAAAACAACGUCGUUUUGGAUACUGUGUAAAAAAAAAAGAGCACAGCUGUGCAUACCCAUUUUUCCCAUAUAUAUAUAUAUAUAUAUAUAUAUAUAUAUAUAUGAUUAACCCACAUGUUUAUUAUAUCUAGACAAUAAACUAUGUGAUUAUAUCCACCGAAUCGACCGUUCGCCAGUUUAGAUCCAAUAACCAACAGUUUUCUAUGCAUUAAAUAAUGCACUUGGUAUGAAAAAUAAACUGUCUGUGAGGCUAUUCCUGAAAUUCCAGCUCUUUUUUAAAUUUUCCUUCUAUUUUAAGUGUUUUUACAUAACAUAAUUUUAGUAUGUUUUCUAUUUUAUAUGAGAAUUGAUUGAUUAUUGUAAUUUCACAACAAAAGUGUAAGUUUAUUGACAUUGAAUUCGUAUUUGCUUAGGAGAAUUCAUGGACUUAUAUUAUAUCCCCAAACUGGGGCACAAGAAAAAGUAAAAUUUUUUGCACCUUUGUUAAAUAAAUAAAUAACCGUAGAAAUAAUUUAGGAUAUUGAUAUUGUUCAAGCAAAAAUUAUACUACAAAAAUAAAAAUACAAUUUAACCGCAGUUUUACAAUCACUUCAGACUUUAAGCUACACUUGUUACUCAAUUUGAAGAUGUUUUUGACUAAUCAAUUGAAUCCUCUUAGCAUUAGACCACAAAUGUAAAUUUUGGAAAUGUUGGUGCUAAAGGAAUUUAUUUGCAUCUUCAAUAUUUCAAGUUCUACUCCAUAGGAAUAAAUCCCCUAGCAGUAACCAAACAGCUCUAACAGUAGGCAUGGUUUUUUUACACAAAGUAGCUAG
This 23383-nucleotide long non-coding RNA is filed under the name Panax ginseng (ginseng). Its description in RNAcentral is "long non-coding RNA (PGIN_LNC000763)". The record is from RNAcentral. Lineage: Eukaryota; Viridiplantae; Streptophyta; Magnoliopsida; Apiales; Araliaceae.